CACGUAGUUAGCCGGUGCUUAUUCUUCAGGUACCGUCAUGAGGUACGGAUAGUAGCCGUACCCUUUUCUUCCCUGACAAAAGAGCUUUACAACCCGAAGGCCUUCUUCACUCACGCGGCAUUGCUGGAUCAGGGUUGCCCCCAUUGUCCAAAAUUCCCCACUGCUGCCUCCCGUAGGAGUCUGGACCGUGUCUCAGUUCCAGUGUGGCUGGUCGUCCUCUCAGACCAGCUACUGAUCGUCGCCUUGGUGAGCCUUUACCUCACCAACUAGUUAAUCAGAUAUCGGCUGCUCCAGGAGCAUGAGGUCUUGCGAUCCCCCACUUUCAUCCAUAGAUCGUAUGCGGUAUUAGCGUAACUUUCGCUACGUUAUCCCCCACUCUUGGGCACGUUCCGAUAUAUUACUCACCCGUUCGCCACUCGUCAGCGGAGCAAGCUCCCUGUUACCGUUCGACUUGCGUGUGUAAGCAUGCCGCCAGCGUUCAAUCUGAGCCAGGAUA
RNAcentral lists this ribosomal RNA (496 nucleotides) under uncultured Massilia sp. RNAcentral describes it as "partial 16S ribosomal RNA". Lineage: Bacteria; Pseudomonadati; Pseudomonadota; Betaproteobacteria; Burkholderiales; Oxalobacteraceae. The record is from RNAcentral.